This 378-nucleotide ribosomal RNA is filed under the name uncultured bacterium. RNAcentral's name for it is "partial 16S ribosomal RNA". It matches the Rfam family "Bacterial small subunit ribosomal RNA", at positions 355 to 748 of the family's 1533-position model. The record is from RNAcentral.
UGGGGAAUAUUGGACAAUGGGCGCAAGCCUGAUCCAGCAAUGCCGCGUGAGUGAUGAAGGCCCUAGGGUUGUAAAGCUCUUUUACCCGGGAAGAUAAUGACUGUACCGGGAGAAUAAGCCCGGCUAACUCCGUGCCAGCAGCCGCGGUAAUACGGAGGGGGCUAGCGUUGUUCGGAAUUACUGGGCGUAAAGCGCACGUAGGCGGCUUUGUAAGUCAGAGGUGAAAAGCCCUGGGAGCUCAACUCCAGAACUGCCUUUGAGACUGCAUCGCUUGAAUCCAGGAGAGGUCAGUGGAAUUCCGAGUGUAGAGGUGAAAUUCGUAGAUAUUCGGAAGAACACCAGUGGCGAAGGCGGCUGACUGGACUGGUAUUGACGCCG